GGUUAAGCGACCAAGCGUACACGGUGGAUGCCCUGGCAGUCAGAGGCGAUGAAGGACGUGCUAAUCUGCGAAAAGCGCCGGUAAGGUGAUAUGAACCGUUAUAACCGGCGAUGUCCGAAUGGGGAAACCCAGUGUGACUCGUCACACUAUCAUUAACUGAAUCCAUAGGUUAAUGAGGCGAACCGGGGGAACUGAAACAUCUAAGUACCCCGAGGAAAAGAAAUCAACCGAGAUUCCCCCAGUAGCGGCGAGCGAACGGGGAGGAGCCCAGAGCCUGAAUCAGCAUGUGUGUUAGUGGAAGCGUCUGGAAAGGCGCGCGAUACAGGGUGAG
RNAcentral lists this ribosomal RNA (331 nucleotides) under Salmonella enterica. Its description in RNAcentral is "partial 23S ribosomal RNA". It matches the Rfam family "Bacterial large subunit ribosomal RNA", at positions 1 to 368 of the family's 2925-position model. RNAcentral also lists the same sequence under 3 other names. Lineage: Bacteria; Pseudomonadati; Pseudomonadota; Gammaproteobacteria; Enterobacterales; Enterobacteriaceae. The record is from RNAcentral.